Molecule: long non-coding RNA, 318 nt
Filed under: Panax ginseng (ginseng)
Lineage: Eukaryota; Viridiplantae; Streptophyta; Magnoliopsida; Apiales; Araliaceae
Description: long non-coding RNA (PGIN_LNC014003)
Source: RNAcentral
CGGGCUAGACACUGAUGAUCUACUGCAAGUUGCACGACCGCGAGGUAGGAGCACGCGUCCGCGCGAGAGGUUGGCUGGACAAGGCAGACAUUCUGUAAGUCUCGCGCCCGUGAGAGACAUAGGCUGGAGAAGCGCUCGGCCGCGCGCGAUGCUGAUGCUGUAAUUUUGUUUUAAUUUUAAUUUUUAAUUAAAUGAAUUGUAAUUGGUUUUUAAACGAUUCUGACUGGUGUCAGAUGAACAACUUGAUAACUUUAAGUAUUUUUUUCAUCAUAGAAACUAGGGUUUACACCUUGGGAGAGAUUCCAACGUAGAACGAAG